This 253-nucleotide ribosomal RNA is filed under the name uncultured bacterium. RNAcentral's name for it is "partial 16S ribosomal RNA". It matches the Rfam family "Bacterial small subunit ribosomal RNA", at positions 524 to 776 of the family's 1533-position model. The record is from RNAcentral.
UACGGAGGGUGCGAGCGUUGUCCGGAAUCACUGGGCGUAAAGGGCGCGUAGGUGGCGCCGCAAGUCAACGGUGAAAGCUCGACGCUUAACGUCGAGUCGGCCGUCGAGACUGCGGGGCUCGAGCACUGUAGAGGCUCAUGGAAUUCCGGGUGUAGCGGUGGAAUGCGUAGAGAUCCGGAAGAACACCGGUGGCGAAGGCGGUGAGCUGGACAGUUGCUGACACUGAGGCGUGACAGCGUGGGGAGCAAACAGG